Molecule: ribosomal RNA, 465 nt
Filed under: uncultured bacterium
Lineage: Bacteria
Description: partial 16S ribosomal RNA
Rfam family: Bacterial small subunit ribosomal RNA
Source: RNAcentral
GACGAACGCUGGCGGCGUGCUUAACACAUGCAAGUCGAACGGAAAGGCCCUGCUUGCAGGGUACUCGAGUGGCGAACGGGUGAGUAACACGUGGGUGAUCUGCCCUGCACUUCGGGAUAAGCCUGGGAAACUGGGUCUAAUACCGGAUAGGAGCCAUUUUUAGUGUGAUGGUUGGAAAGUUUUUUCGGUGUAGGAUGAGCUCGCGGCCUAUCAGCUUGUUGGUGGGGUAAUGGCCUACCAAGGCGGCGACGGGUAGCCGGCCUGAGAGGGUGGACGGCCACAUUGGGACUGAGAUACGGCCCAGACUCCUACGGGAGGCAGCAGUGGGGAAUAUUGCACAAUGGGCGCAAGCCUGAUGCAGAGACGCCGCGUGGGGGAUGACGGCCUUCGGGUUGUAAACUCAUUUCGCUAGGGACGAAGCUUUUUGUGACGGUACCUAGAUAAGAAGCACCGGCUAACUACGUG